Molecule: unclassified non-coding RNA, 377 nt
Filed under: uncultured Chlamydiales bacterium
Lineage: Bacteria; Pseudomonadati; Chlamydiota; Chlamydiia; Chlamydiales
Description: contains 16S-23S intergenic spacer region
Source: RNAcentral
UCCUGGUUAACCCAGGCAGUCUCAUUAGAGUUCCCACCCUAAGUGUUGGCAACUAAUGAUAAGGGUUGCGCUCGUUGCGGGACUUAACCCAACACCUCACGGCACGAGCUGACGACAGCCAUGCAGCACCUGUGUAGCGGUCCUUUCGGAAAAUGACAUCUCUGCCACUGUCCACUACAUGUCAAGUCUGGGUAAGGUUCUUCGCGUUGCAUCGAAUUAAACCACAUGCUCCACUGCUUGUGCGGGCCCCCGUCAAUUCUUUUGAGUUUCACCCUUGCGAGUGUACUCCUCAGGCGGUAUACUUAUCGCGUUAGCUUCGACACAAUUGGGGUUGAUUCCAACUACAUCAAGUAUACAUCGUUUACGGCUAGGACUAC